This 98-nucleotide signal recognition particle RNA is filed under the name Planctomycetota bacterium. RNAcentral's name for it is "Planctomycetes bacterium (soil metagenome) signal recognition particle sRNA small type". It matches the Rfam family "Bacterial small signal recognition particle RNA". Rfam says of the family: The signal recognition particle (SRP) is a universally conserved ribonucleoprotein involved in the co-translational targeting of proteins to membranes. The record is from RNAcentral. Lineage: Bacteria; Pseudomonadati; Planctomycetota.
CAGCCGGACCCCGGAAGUCCAUCGUCGCCGAAUCUGGUCAGGCCUUGACGGGAGCAGCCAUAAGGCAGCCGAGGGCGUUCCGGGUCAUCCGGCUGUGC